This 244-nucleotide unclassified non-coding RNA is filed under the name Hevea brasiliensis (rubber tree). Lineage: Eukaryota; Viridiplantae; Streptophyta; Magnoliopsida; Malpighiales; Euphorbiaceae. The record is from RNAcentral.
AAGAAACAGAGAAAGCAAAAGCAAAUUCGCAUGGGAACUCCUAUUAAAUCUCCUCCUCCGCGACCAUUCAUUAGCAAAGCCGAGAGCUCAAAAAAGCCACAGCAAGCAUCAAAGAAUGGUGAUAUAAAGGCGAAGAAACGAUUAAAAAGUGAUAGUAGUGAUGACGACGAUGAUGAGUUCAUUCUAAGUCCAAAGAGAAGAAAAGGGUAAAAAAAAAGAAGAUGAACUCUGCAUUUGCAAGAAU